Molecule: ribosomal RNA, 484 nt
Filed under: uncultured bacterium
Lineage: Bacteria
Description: partial 16S ribosomal RNA
Rfam family: Bacterial small subunit ribosomal RNA
Source: RNAcentral
AUUGAACGCUGGCGGCAGGCCUAACACAUGCAAGUCGAGCGGAUGAAGGGAGCUUGCUCCUGGAUUCAGCGGCGGACGGGUGAGUAAUGCCUAGGAAUCUGCCUGGUAGUGGGGGAUAACGUCCGUAAACGGGCGCUAAUACCGCAUACGUCCUGAGGGAGAAAGUGGGGGAUCUUCGGACCUCACGCUAUCAGAUGAGCCUAGGUCGGAUUAGCUAGUUGGUGGGGUAAAGGCCUACCAAGGCGACUCUCCGUAACUGGUCUGAGAGGAUGAUCAGUCAUACUGGAACUGAGACACGGUCCAGACUCCUACGGGAGGCAGCAGUGGGGAAUAUUGGACAAUGGGAGAAAGCCUGAUCCAGCCAUGCCGCGUGUGUGAAGAAGGUCUUCGGAUUGUAAAGCACUUUAAGUUGGGAGGAAGGGCAGUAAGUUAAUACCUUGCUGUUUUGACGUUACCAACAGAAUAAGCACCGGCUAACUUCGUG